This 491-nucleotide ribosomal RNA is filed under the name uncultured bacterium. Its description in RNAcentral is "partial 16S ribosomal RNA". It matches the Rfam family "Bacterial small subunit ribosomal RNA", at positions 29 to 507 of the family's 1533-position model. The record is from RNAcentral.
GUGAACGCUGGCGGUAGGCCUAACACAUGCAAGUCGAACGGCAGCACCGUAAGAGCUUGCUCUUACGGGUGGCGAGUGGCGGACGGGUGAGGAAUACAUCGGAAUCUACUUUUUCGUGGGGGAUAACGUAGGGAAACUUACGCUAAUACCGCGUACGACCUACGGGUGAAAGCAGGGGAUCUUCGGACCUUGCGCGAUUGAAUGAGCCGAUGUCGGAUUAGCUAGUUGGCGGGGUAAAGGCCCACCAAGGCGACGAUCCGUAGCUGGUCUGAGAGGAUGAUCAGCCACACUGGAACUGAGACACGGUCCAGACUCCUACGGGAGGCAGCAGUGGGGAAUAUUGGACAAUGGGCGCAAGCCUGAUCCAGCCAUACCGCGUGGGUGAAGAAGGCCUUCGGGUUGUAAAGCCCUUUUGUUGGGAAAGAAAAGCAGCAGGUUAAUACCCCGCUGUUCUGACGGUACCCAAAGAAUAAGCACCGGCUAACUUCGUG